This 566-nucleotide non-coding RNA is filed under the name unclassified sequences. RNAcentral describes it as "ROOL RNA". It matches the Rfam family "ROOL RNA". From Rfam's summary of the family: Firmicutes, Fusobacteria (1 example), Tenericutes (1 example). The record is from Rfam by way of RNAcentral.
GUAAAAAUACGCAAAAUGGUAUACCUCGGUUAUUAAAAAAGUCUAAUCAACUUUCCGAGAUUACUUGAAUUUGAGCUUAGUCCAAGGAGAGCGGUCUUGGACGGAUACUUUGUCGAUAUUCGUGAGGGUAUUGACAGGAGAUAAGUGAGUAAGUGUAUCUUCUUAUCGCUAUAAAGAGCACCGAACUUGUCGCAGCAAUAAAUAGACGCUCCUUUUGAGGAGAAGAACCUGAAUGUCUUAUUAGGCGUGGUUGUUUAAAGAGAAACGCAGGAAUACCAAUAAUGCUGUUCGUGGUUGAUGUUUGGAAACAAACUAUAAGACGAGAAGCGGGUACAAGUAGCCUAUCCCGAGCUCUUUUUAACCAACGUAAAAUUGGGAAAAAUGAGGCAAUUCUGAAAGAUUGGUGAAAGUUGGAGGAAACUAAUCCUCCGUAAGGUCCGCCCCUGGCGGGGUUGGACAAGAAGCUAAGGGUCGCUCCCGAAAGCUCAGACUUGUCUGCUUACUGGCUGAAUAUUAUAGAAGAUUUGAAGGAGAAGACGAAGGUCUAUACCACUUUUAUUAUUUAA